AGUGAACGCUGGCGGUAGGCCUAACACAUGCAAGUCGAACGGCAGCACAGUAAGAGCUUGCUCUUACGGGUGGCGAGUGGCGGACGGGUUAGGAAUACAUCGGUAUCUACUUUUUCGUGGGGGCUAACGUAGGGAAACUUACGCUACUACCGCAUACGACCUACGGGUGAAAGCAGGUGAUCUUCGGACCUUGCGCGAUUGCAUGAGCCGAUGUCGGAUUAGCUAGUUGGCGGGGUAAAGGCCCACCAAGGCGACGAUCCGUAGCUGGUCUGAGAGGAUGAUCAGCCACACUGGAACUGAGACACGGUCCAGACUCCUACGGGAGGCAGCAGUGGGGAAUAUUGGACAAUGGGCGCAAGCCUGAUCCAGCCAUACCGCGUGGGUGAAGAAGGCCUUCGGGUUGUAAAGCCCUUUUGUUGGGAAAGAAAAGCAGCAGGUUAAUACCCCGCUGUUCUGACGGUACCCAAAGAAUAAGCACCGGCUAACUUCGUG
Molecule: ribosomal RNA, 492 nt
Filed under: uncultured bacterium
Lineage: Bacteria
Description: partial 16S ribosomal RNA
Rfam family: Bacterial small subunit ribosomal RNA
Source: RNAcentral